Molecule: ribosomal RNA, 430 nt
Filed under: uncultured bacterium
Lineage: Bacteria
Description: bacterial SSU rRNA
Rfam family: Bacterial small subunit ribosomal RNA
Source: RNAcentral
AAUCAACGCUGGCGGCGCGCUUAACACAUGCAAGUCGAACGAGAAAGGGAGCAAUCCCUGAGUACAGUGGCGUACGGGUGAGUAACACGUGGGUGAUCUGCCUUUUAGUGGGGAAUAUCUCUGGGAAACCGGAGUUAAUACCGCAUAAGCUCGGAAGAGGAAAGCCGAAAGGCGCUGAGAGAGGAGCCCGCGGCCGAUUAGCUAGUUGGUGGGGUAAAGGCUCACCAAGGCANAGAUCGGUAGCCGGCCUGAGAGGGCACACGGCCACACUGGCACUGAAACACGGGCCAGACUCCUACGGGAGGCAGCAGUGGGGAAUCUUGCACAAUGGGGGCAACCCUGAUGCAGCGACGCCGCGUGAGCGAUGAACGCCCUUCGGGUGUAAAGCUCUUUCGACGGGAACGAUAAUGACGGUACCCGAGAAGAAGCU